UGAAGAACUUUUUCUACAAAGAAAUGUGUAUAAUAGAGAAGUACUGAUAUCAUGUGGAAAAAUUCACGUUAGUUUAUUUAACUGGACAAAGCUACAAAUUAUGCGUGUAUUAAACAGUAAUAGUUGUAACAUUUUAAUGUACCUGUUGCAGGCAAGAACCAACUCUCUGAUCAGGAUCGCAGUUAACUUCUUGGCCUCCUUCGUAGUGUAGCAUCUGCACAUGAUAGAGAAACAUGUGAGGCAGCAAUAAGUAAGCUCAGGGACAGUGUCUUGUAUAAGAGUAACACAGCUGUUCGAAACUAUGUUGAGAAAAGGUGGCUCAAUAUUAAAGAGGUAGGGUUUACAACAGUGUCACCUUGAGAAUAUUCUUUUGAUGUCUGUGCAUUGUCACAGUGGGAAUUAGAAUUAAUUGUAGUGCUUUUAUAUACAUUGACAGUAAAGGUAUUUUUGAUGUAGUGUAAAGAAAGGUCAGAAAGGUAUUUAUGUAGUGUAAAGGGAGAUCAGAAAGGCUUUUUUUGCUUGGUACUUGUAACUAGAUUUAAAAGUUUUUUGUUUUUUGUUUUUUUCUCCCAGAGGUGGUGCAGAGGAUUCUCCCCUCAUGGAUUUAAUGUAUCUGUAACCACAAACAAUGGCAUCGAAGCAAUGAACAACUCCCUGAAGAGCUUUUACCUGAAGAUUUCGGGCACUAAAACAGUAUCAUCUUUGAUUGAAAUGAUCGUUACUGAAUUCAUCCCAGAGCAGCUCUUCUCAUAUGCUAAACUUAAUUACAUGUACAGCAGUCAAGCACAGAGUAUACAGUGCUGAUGUUCCUGAGUUCCUCUGGGACCGUCCAAGAUCUUUUGUGCAAAACUGCCUGAAAAACCUAGAGGCAGCUUGUUACUGUACCUUCCAACAGGUUCAAGAGCAGAGUAAGGGGCUUUAUAAAGUCCAGAGUGAGCAGUCAUGUGAAUGGUACUCUGUGGAUCUCGGAGACAAAGACCGUUUUCCGUCAUGUGAAUGCAGAUCUUUUAAUUCCACUUUUUUAUCCUGCAAGCAUUUUUUUUUGCUGUUUUCAAACACACUGACAGCUCAUGGUACUCAUUGUGCCCAGAUGAUAUCAGCAGUCCUUAUGUCACUCUUGACUCGGAUGUUGUGUCAAGUCAGAAACAUUUGGAGGUGAAGGAAGUGAUUGACAAGGACACUACUGUCUGCACCGAUAGCUUCGUGGGCAGCGCGCCAACAUGUAAGGACAAUACUGUACAUCCUAUUGCCAUAGACUAUUGUGACAUUCAGUGCUUGAAGACAGACAUGGAGGCAAAUUGAAGUUUCCACUGCACAGUGUGCCCUUCGAGAGAAAUUUAAAAUUCUCCAGGAUUUAUCAUACAUAUGCAUGGAUCAUGAGUUGUUACAUAAUGCAACUACAGUCAUUGAUGAACUUGCGGGAAAGAUGAAAUGCUCUGUUCCAAAAGAAGACUUACUACCACUUCUAAGUAACCAAGAUGACAUAAAACUGAAACUUUGCGUACUUCCACCAUAGAAAAGAAAAGGAAAGGUGAAAGCCAAAAAAAGGAGAAUUGAGAAAAGAAUCAGUGGUGAAACAGGGGACCAGUCUGGUUCUUUGAAAGAGAACUUGCUGACAGACUGCGCUAAAAUAGAUUUGCCAGAUGAGUAAGGCUGAGACACUUCUGGCAGAGCUGAUCAAGCAUGACAUUGCUGAGGUAGAAAUAGGGUGGCCAUUUCCAUAACACCAAAAAGGAGGACACUUUGCGGCAUUUAGUGAGGCAAGAAUAAUUGCAUAGGACUCUGGUGUACUCGCAACUACAAUGUACUCGUAAUAAAAUUUUUUCCAUUAUAUCGAUGAUAUCAUGAUACAGUGAUUCUGAAAAAGCCUACUCUAUUCAUUGCCGGACAAUUUGAUGUAGACCUAUGUGUAACAGAAGAGGUAAAAAGUGUUUGUUCACAGUAUUUUUAUUUAUUCAAGACAUUGUGAUGUCUGUUUCUGUUUCAGCAGGCUUGUUUACGUUUUUAACCAAUGAUAUAACAGAUAUUUAUUUGACACCGCUUUCAGCCAAUCGUUUGUUUGACCAGAUCUUACGGUAUUAGACGCUAUGCUGCUGCACAUUAAAAAAGAAAAUGUUUCCAAACUUUUCACUGAUAGUGUAUGUGCUUUUGACACCUAGCAACAGUGUCACGUGAUUUUACAGUAUUAUAAAACAUUAGCUUUUUUUUUCUUGUUUUAACUGAGUAAAAAUGAAACAAACACAACGAGGGCUUCUGCACGAUUACUAUUGAAGUCUUUUCGGGGCAUGUAAAUGGCGCAUGCUCCUUGACCUUGCGAAUAAGCCACGCCCUCGUGCUGUCGUCAGACUCGAAACCCCAAGUAUUUAGUCUGAGCCGUUUAGACUGCCCUAUCAAUCAUCUUGUCACAGUUAAAAUCCUCCACAUUGAAUUAAAUUUAAUUUCCUACCAUUUCGAAGAGAAAUGUAGUCGCACGUUUAUCUGCCAGUCAUGGGUCUUUCAUACAGAGAACUCUCCUCAUCUUUGUAAAAUGAUGCAUUUAAAAGUUAAAGGUGCCCUUGAGUGAUUUGAAAAAAACAUUUUAAAUUGUUCCCUGAUAUCUACAUAGAGGGUAUGUGGCUUUUUUAUGGCCGAAAAUUGUCCAGAUAUGGUUUUACAGCUCCAUUUAUAACCCCACAAAUAGCCCCUAGAAUGAAAAGGUCUGUUUUUGCCUUAUUUGGAAGGCUCAUGAAUAGUAAUAUGGUGCUCCGCUCUGAUUGGCUGUUUCACUGUUCGGCUCCUUCCAGUAGCUCACACUGAUAGCGAACAAAUCUGUACUGUACGGCGUGAACGAUGGAGAGUUUUGGUAUUCAACCUUAUAUGUUUGAGCCUGUUUCUGACGAAGAUGCAGAUGUAGAGGAACAACCAAUUUUGUUGCGAUUGGCCAUAGACGUUUCUGAGUGGUAAGUUAGUCUUUAUUUUCAGUAUGCACCUGCAAAACGUAACUGUUACGUCAAUGGAACUAGCAUAUAGCGUUAA
Megalobrama amblycephala (Wuchang bream) is the source of this 3015-nucleotide long non-coding RNA. RefSeq lists it as uncharacterized. The transcript is spliced from 3 exons. The record is from RefSeq and is a predicted model, not a curated record. Lineage: Eukaryota; Metazoa; Chordata; Actinopteri; Cypriniformes; Xenocyprididae.